Molecule: non-coding RNA, 25 nt
Filed under: Cricetulus griseus (Chinese hamster)
Lineage: Eukaryota; Metazoa; Chordata; Mammalia; Rodentia; Cricetidae
Source: RNAcentral
CAAAAUCAUACUGGAGAGAAUCCCU